This 587-nucleotide ribosomal RNA is filed under the name Morchella sp. RNAcentral describes it as "partial large subunit ribosomal RNA". It matches the Rfam family "Eukaryotic large subunit ribosomal RNA", at positions 67 to 668 of the family's 3401-position model. Lineage: Eukaryota; Fungi; Ascomycota; Pezizomycetes; Pezizales; Morchellaceae. The record is from RNAcentral.
CCCGAUGCAUGCUCAGUACGGCGAGUGAGCGGCAAAAGCUCAAAUUUUAAAGCUGGCACCUUCGGUGUCCGCGUUGUAAUUUUGUGAGGCAUCUCCGGGUAGGGCGCCGGCCUAAGUUCCUUGGAACAGGACGUCAUAGAGGGUGAGAAUCCCGUGCUUGGCUGGCUGUCCCCGUCCAUGUGAGGUGUCUUCGACGAGUCGAGUUGUUUGGGAAUGCAGCUCAAAAUGGGUGGUAAAUUUCAUCUAAAGCUAAAUAUUGGUGGGAGACCGAUAGCGCACAAGUAGAGUGAUCGAAAGAUGAAAAGCACUUUGAAAAUAGAGUUAAAAAGUACGUGAAAUUGUUGAAAGGGAAGCGCUUGAGACCAGACUUCGGUGGGGAGUGAUCAGCUGUCCUUCUGGGCGGUGCACUUGCUCCCCUCCGGGCCAGCAUCGGUUGGGACGGCGGGAUAAAGGUCCCGGGAAUGUGGCUCCUCUCGGGGAGUGUUAUAGCCCGGGUGAAUGCCGCCAGCCCCGACCGAGGACCGCGCCUUCGGGCUAGGAUGCUUGGCAUAAUGGUCUUCAGCGACCCGUCUUGAAACCACGGACCA